RNAcentral lists this long non-coding RNA (1985 nucleotides) under Brassica napus (rape). Its description in RNAcentral is "long non-coding RNA (BNAP_LNC023858)". Lineage: Eukaryota; Viridiplantae; Streptophyta; Magnoliopsida; Brassicales; Brassicaceae. The record is from RNAcentral.
CAACUUCUCCUUCAUGCCUGAUAAUGAGGUUGUAAUGGCUCAGCAUCGCCAUUGCUUGGAAACUGUUUACCAGUGCAUUAACGAUCAUAUGACCGGUAAGGACAAGUACUGUGUGUUAUUACCUCACAUUCGCCUCUGAUAGAUUCCUAUUUCUUGGCUUUGGCUUAAGAACUUUGCAAUAGAGCAAUUAAAUGUUGGAGUUUCUUAACUUUGUAUCUUAAGUCACUUUUUUCUACUUGAAACCAUUGCAUUAUAAAAAUAAUAAGAACUCCUAAUAUGGAUCUUUGCAAUAAUCAUGCUCUUUCUCCGUCACGUGCCUGUGUAACUGUGUUCUUGUAAACAUUUUUGGGCUUUCAAAGAAGUGUGAUACGCCCAAAUAUUUUAUAUUUUCUAAACAAUUUUUAUGAAGAAUUCAUGUAGGUCAUUUUUCUAACGCACAAGGCAAAAUUCCAAAAUUAUUUACAAAACCCAAAAGCUUCUAACAACAAAAAUGGAGUUGAUUAAAAACAGAGGAAAUACAGCAGAAUAUGGGAGUCAAAGACUGAAACAAUAAGGAAAGAUCCUGAAAUAACAAUGUUAUCAGUAUAGAAACUGUACAAACAUGGAAAAUAAAAGAGUCCCUGGAGCUAAAAUUUAUGCACAGACCAGAAGCUAAGUGAGCUGAAUCGACAGACGUACUUUUAUUUACAAUGCAGGGGGGCUCGACUCAAGAGGACAUAGAAAGCUACCUAAACAGUCUUGUUACUAACACUCCUAUACCUUUAGAAAGUGUAUAGUAAGAAGACUACUUAAAACUACCCAAAGAAUCAGAUUUUGAUUCCACCAUUCUAUAUGCAUCUGUAUUUGUUUUUGUUUUUACUAGUAUAUAAUAUAUAUAUAUAUGCUUUUUAUUUGUACACCAUGCGUAUUUCUACCAGUUUCCAGUGUGAAACCAUUGGUAUAUAUAUAUGACGAGGGACUCCAGAAGUACCAACCCUGAAACUUCCAUUGUCCUUUACCCUUUUUGACUUCUUCAGCGAGCAAUACUACUUUACUUACGACCUGUAACAACAGUAAUGUGGUGAGAUCGAACACAUUUGCAAGUAAUGAAACAAAAAGGAGCAUCUGUAAGUACCAAGCUUUAACCUUAAUAUGCAAAAAUUAAAUAAUGCGCAAAGCUUAAACAGGAACCCUGCCACUACCCAGAGUAGCAACUUCUUCCCCUUCUGCAAGGAUUACUAACUACAAAACCGAUGAAUAACAUCAAGGUCUACCAUCUCCAAGCCAAUUUAAAUCGUUAAGAUAAUCAAUACAUACUUACGCCCAUCUAGCUUUCACCCUGUUGUUUGAUCAGAACCACUACUCUGCAUAUGUUGAGGAGUCUGGACAAUGACAUGGGACUGCGUUGGUGAGGGACCUGCUAUAGCUGAAGGGUAAGGUGAUUGAAUAUGACUUCCUGGAACUGAAUACCCUUGUAUCGUAGUGUAACCGGGGAUAUUCUGACUCAGUUGUCCGUAUUGGUAGCCAGGUGAGUUAACUGCACCAGGUACUCCAUAAACCUGAAGGUACUGUUGCCCUGUGUAAGGACCAUAUAAGCCCUACAACACCAUAAAGAGAAGAUAUGAGAUAUAUAACCAAAGUCAAAAUAGUUUCAAAUAAACCAAGAAGAGACUUUAACAAUUUCAAAAGUCUACCUGAGACUGUGAGUACAUGUAUUCAGGUCCAUAUGGUGUAACCCUGAGAGGGAACCAAAAAUAUUAGCUAAAAUUAGAGACAGAUGAGUAUAGUUUUUGGUAGGAAGUACUGUGUGUUAUUACCUCACAUUCGCCUCUGAUAGAUUCCUAUUUCUUGGCUUUGGCUUAAGAACUUUGCAAUAGAGCAAUUAAAUGUUGGAGUUUCUUAACUUUGUAUCUUAAGUCACUUUUUUCUACUUGAAACCAUUGCAUUAUAAAAAUAAUAAGAACUCCUAAUAUGGAUCUUUGCAAUAAUCAUGCUCUUUCUCCGUC